Molecule: long non-coding RNA, 1045 nt
Organism: Hyposmocoma kahamanoa
Lineage: Eukaryota; Metazoa; Arthropoda; Insecta; Lepidoptera; Cosmopterigidae
Exons: 4
Source: RefSeq, a predicted model, not a curated record
AGUGUGGUGUCGCAGGUCGCAUCGAGCGCCCGUUUCACUCCGCGCCCCAUAACGAACCGCCACGUCGCCGGAAAAACACACUCGGUGUUCCAGCAACAUUCCAUAUUUAAAUUUAAAAGUGACUUUUUGAAUAGUGCAGUGCAACCAUGUUUAUGUUAUUUAUCCUCCUCACUGUGUAUCUAAUAACCUUAUGUCACGGAUGAGGCGUGCGUAAAAAUAAUUGCUAUGAAGGAUUUGGGAUUAUCAGGGUGAAAUAAAGGAGUGUCUUGUGAGGGUGCCGGCUUUUGUCGGCCACGGUUGUAUUUUGACUUCUGAUGGGUGACGCAACAAUAUGUAGACAAAAUUUUUGAUCGUUACAGCAGCAACAAAUGAGCUACUACUAUGAAUAUUGCCGUCUUUCGCCGCUUUAUUGAAACAAUUAACUCAGAAAAGAAACACUAAAACUAACAUAGUGAUCAAAACUGCUUCAGAAACAGUCAACGACACCUUCGAAAGAAAUCACAAUCCUAAGCUAUUAUCUCUCAUCCCAUUCAAGUCGUUAGUUGAGUGCCCAAAUGUCCCUUGAAUUAUUUAACAUGUCAAAUAUCCUCUUCAGCCCUUUGUGACAAAACUCAGCCUCAAAUAACAUUAGUGCUUGUCGUUUCCAAUUUGACUCAGGUUUGUCUUAAUGGAAUUUGGUCGUCUGUUUCAAUAAAUAAUGGUGUAAGUGUUUUGAACUUAUAAUUAAAUUAGUGGUUAAUAACCACGAAGACGUGGGUGAUGAAGAACAUAACAACAACUUGGAAAUGAUGCCAAGAUAGUGAAUGGUUAGGGUGCGAUUACAUUACCGACGCAAUAGCGAUUAUAGAAAACGACAUUUAUUUGCAAUAUAAUACAUAUUUUGUGAAAGAUUUAAAAGUAAUUUAAUGAUUGUGGAAAAACUCGCGGAAUUAGAAGAAUUGAUGGAGUCGAUUCGAGAGCGUUUAUAGCAAAAGUUAUUCUGUGAAGGAAUAUUUUUUACCAACUAAAUUUGUAACUAAUGAACGUGCGAACAAUGCAUGCGAGU